RNAcentral lists this non-coding RNA (81 nucleotides) under unclassified sequences. The record is from RNAcentral.
CUCCCUCGCUCCAUGAGCGGGCGGGGGAGCUUUUAAUGCCACCGUCGGCGGUUGCAAGUCCGCAUAAAGGCAGAGCAGAAA